This 424-nucleotide ribosomal RNA is filed under the name Escherichia coli. Its description in RNAcentral is "partial 23S ribosomal RNA". It matches the Rfam family "Bacterial large subunit ribosomal RNA", at positions 2217 to 2640 of the family's 2925-position model. The record is from RNAcentral. Lineage: Bacteria; Pseudomonadati; Pseudomonadota; Gammaproteobacteria; Enterobacterales; Enterobacteriaceae.
AUGUUCUAACGUGGACCCGUAAUCCGGGUUGCGGACAGUGUCUGGUGGGUAGUUUGACUGGGGCGGUCUCCUCCUAAAGAGUAACGGAGGAGCACGAAGGUUGGCUAAUCCUGGUCGGACAUCAGGAGGUUAGUGCAAUGGCAUAAGCCAGCUUGACUGCGAGCGUGACGGCGCGAGCAGGUGCGAAAGCAGGUCAUAGUGAUCCGGUGGUUCUGAAUGGAAGGGCCAUCGCUCAACGGAUAAAAGGUACUCCGGGGAUAACAGGCUGAUACCGCCCAAGAGUUCAUAUCGACGGCGGUGUUUGGCACCUCGAUGUCGGCUCAUCACAUCCUGGGGCUGAAGUAGGUCCCAAGGGUAUGGCUGUUCGCCAUUUAAAGUGGUACGCGAGCUGGGUUUAGAACGUCGUGAGACAGUUCGGUCCCUA